Molecule: ribosomal RNA, 541 nt
Rfam family: Bacterial large subunit ribosomal RNA
UAUAAGAGGUACAGCCUGCCCAGUGACUUUGUUCAACGGCCGCGGUAUCCUAACCGUGCGAAGGUAGCGUAAUCACUUGUUCUUUAAAUGAGGACUAGUAUGAAUGGCAUCACGAGGGUUAUACUGUCUCCUUUUUCCAAUCAGUGAAACUAAUCUCCCCGUGAAGAAGCGGGGAUAAACCUAUAAGACGAGAAGACCCUAUGGAGCUUUAAACUAAAUUACAUUUGUCUCACAAUUAGAAAUUUCAGAAAAAUAACAUUAACCUAGACAACAUGAUAAUAAGUUUUGGGUUGGGGUGACCGCGGAGUAAAAACCACCCUCCGCAUUGAAAAAGAUUACUUCUUUAGCCAAAAGCUACAACUUAAAGCAUCAAUAAAUUGACAUUAUUGACCCAAUAUUUUGAUCAACGAACCAAGUUACCCUAGGGAUAACAGCGCAAUCCACUUCAAGAGCUCCUAUCGACAAGUGGGUUUACGACCUCGAUGUUGGAUCAGGGUAUCCCAGUGGUGCAGCCGCUACUAAAGGUUCGNNUGUUCAACGA